Molecule: unclassified non-coding RNA, 344 nt
Filed under: soil metagenome
Description: partial contains 5.8S ribosomal RNA, internal transcribed spacer 2, and large subunit ribosomal RNA
Rfam family: 5.8S ribosomal RNA (bases 1-119)
Source: RNAcentral
GAUGAAAACGUAGCGAAAUGCGAUACGUAAUGUGAAUUGCAGAAUUCAGUGAAUCAUCGAGUCUUUGAACGCACAUUGCGCCCCCUGGUAUUCCGGGGGGCAUGCCUGUCCGAGCGUCAUUGCUGCCCUCAAGCACGGCUUGUGUGUUGGGCCUCCGUCCUCCUCCCGGGGGACGGGCCCGAAAGGCAGCGGCGGCACCGCGUCCGGUCCUCGAGCGUAUGGGGCUUCGUCACCCGCUCUUGUAGGCCCGGCCGGCGCUUGCCGACACAUCAAUCUUUUUUCCAGGUUGACCUCGGAUCAGGUAGGGAUACCCGCUGAACUUAAGCAUAUCAAUAAGCGGAGGA